Molecule: non-coding RNA, 230 nt
Organism: Cinara cedri
Lineage: Eukaryota; Metazoa; Arthropoda; Insecta; Hemiptera; Aphididae
Source: the annotation of a GenBank genome assembly
AAUAUAAAAACAUCCACGAUCAACACAUCCCUGUCACUAAAGAAUAGAAUUUUCUCUUGUCUGUUUUAAAACAAUAAAUAAUCGAAUACUAAAAUAAUACUGCAGUACCUACCAUAUUGCUAUUAUUAUUAUACUACUUUCAAAAAAAUUGUAGGGGUGGAAGUUGAAAAUGUAAACCCUCAAUGGCACAUCCUUGAUAUAAAUACUACGCGUAUACAUAACUUUUACUC